This 78-nucleotide transfer RNA is filed under the name Marmota monax (woodchuck). RNAcentral describes it as "tRNA.Ala". The stretch from base 9 to 73 matches the Rfam family "tRNA", at positions 6 to 65 of the family's 71-position model. Rfam says of the family: Transfer RNA (tRNA) molecules are approximately 80 nucleotides in length. The record is from RNAcentral. Lineage: Eukaryota; Metazoa; Chordata; Mammalia; Rodentia; Sciuridae.
GCUGGGGAUGGAGCUCAGUGGAAGAGCACGUGCUUAGCACGUAUGUGCAAGGCCCUGGGUUCAAACCCCAGCACGGCG